UACCAGCACCCCGAGUGGUCGGGACGUUUAUUGGGCCUAAAGCAUCCGUAGCCGGUUCUACAAGUCUUCCGUUAAAUCCACCUGCUUAACAGAUGGGCUGCGGAAGAUACUAUGGAGCUAGGAGGCGGGAGAGGCAAGCGGUACUCGAUGGGUAGGGUAAAAUCCGUUGAUCCAUUGAAGACCACCAGUGGCGAAGGCGGCUUGCCAGAACGCGCUCGACGGUGAGGGAUGAAAGCUGGGGGAGCAAACCGG
RNAcentral lists this ribosomal RNA (252 nucleotides) under uncultured bacterium. Its description in RNAcentral is "partial 16S ribosomal RNA". It matches the Rfam family "Archaeal small subunit ribosomal RNA", at positions 474 to 727 of the family's 1478-position model. The record is from RNAcentral.